GGGAGAAAAAGAGAACGAAAACAUUGAACAUUAAACGCCACAAUCAAUAACAUCACAUUUGUGAGACUUUUAGCGGAAUGGUUGGCCGCCGCUAUCCAAUGCACCAGAUAAUUGAGUCCUCUGCUCGGAAAUCAGGACCGUUUUUUGGUGUUUGUUUUUUAGACACCGCCAACCGCGUUUACGCUUUUGCAAAUCGGCUUAAAUCAACAGUAUAAUUUAGCAUGAGCCUGAAAUGGUCUCAAAGCAGCAGACAAGCCAGGACGCCUUGCUUAUUGUUGUUUGAACACCAAUGUUUACUUGAAAAUCUUGUGACAACAUACUUUGUAGACACACAUUGAAGCUAGCACAUACUGAAUAGUACUGUACAUUCGUACGUACCAAAGUACCCACUUCAUGUACAGUAUACUCCUCCUACGGGGAGUAGAAAGAAUGGAUUAAUCAAUUGUAUAUUUGCGAUCAAUUGACUGUGAUUACAAUUGUGGGUUUGUGACCACAAGUGCCAUUACAACUGUACAUUUGGGAUCAGGAUCACAAUUGGAUGUUUUGGAUCAAUAGGCGGCUCAUUGUUAAGAAAUAAUCCAAACAGACUCUAACUUGUUCCCUUCUUACUUAUGCGACCUGAUAUGGGUUACCUCAGACGCCCCCGUGACCAAAUCAUCUUUCAGCCUAAGGUAAUUUUAAUGCUUCAUGAACAUGGAUUAAUGGUCCAUCUUUCUGUUCUGAGAGGCAGCAGACCUUGUUUUUUUUUCCAUCAAAGUCAUUUCGAGGUGGCUAAUGACACUCACGAUGCCACACCAGAGCUUGAGGGCUUCGGAUAGGUGGAUGCUUUGAGAACCCCUACCUCUAUCGUUAGCGUGUCCGUUAGACUCCUUCAAAGUUUAUUAGUUGAUUGAUUAUACACAGGUAAACUUGUCCUUUAUUCGUAACCGCAAUACCUGUAAAUUGACUGUUUCUCUGCAAACAUAUUUCCUUUCCCACUCCAUUAAGUGUUUGUCAGGCAUUUUUUUUCAAAGGGUGAAUAAUUUGACUGUAUUUUAGUUUCAUUGUAUUUACAUUUCUUUGGUGGUUGAAUUCAAAAUGUGAAAUCCGUUUAUUUAGUCCCAACAUAGUGUCAUUUUACUGGCCAUAUCAGGGGUGUCAAACAUACGGCCCGCGGGGCGGAACCGGCCCCCAAGGAGGUUCGAUCAGGCCCGCGGGAUAAUUUAAAAGUGAAAAAAUGGAUACAAGACACGGAAUGAAUACUUUAAAUUAGAUGCAUUUCAUGGAUUAUCCGCUCGGGGCAACACUGUUUUGAUCAGAGGAGAAGACAUUGUUUUGAUCAGAGAAGAAGACAACAGCAAUCUUGGUCUGUCACUGAGACACCCCAAAUAUAGCAGUAAAAGCCAGCUACCUAAUUGCUAGCCAAAUAGCAGUAGCAUCAAAGCUGUAUUCCGACCGUGACUUCGUUUAACAGAUGCAUGAUAACAGCGGCUCAACUUGUGUUUCCCGAGAAGCGACAAGCUUUUGCCAAGAUUAGCCUGAUGAGGAAUACUAUACUAGAGAGGAUUUCAGACCUAUCAGCAGAUUUAGACAGCCAAUUGAAACAGAGAGUUAAGUCAUUUUGUCAAAUAUUUGGUAAAAGAUACAGUAUGUUCAUUAAAUUUCAACAUUUUCCUAAUAUUCUUAUGCUUCUAUAUACCAAAACAAAGGAAAGACGUGAUAUUUUGGUUAUUUAUAGCAGAGUAUGGUCUAAUUUUAAUGGUCCGGCCCACUUGACAUCUGUGUGGCCCACAAUGUGAAAUGAGUUUGACACCCUUGGUCCAUACUGUGUAGUAUUUGUAUGUCCUUUAGGGGCAUGGCCUACUGAGUGACAUGGGGAGCUCGAAUCGGUUUGUCUGAGCACUUCCAGUAGCUCCUUGUGGGUGUUCUCAUUUUGUAUUUGUGUGUUUGACUUGUUGCUUCGUUCAAUGAACGGCUGAAAGUGCAUCGGUGACUGUGGCACUCCUGGCCCACAUUCCAGGCUUUGCAAAUCCUCAACUCAUUCACUGCCAUUGAUAAGUAAAGCUAAUGAUUUUCAAUUGGUAUUUGUGGAAGAGAGUCUGAUGCUGCUUCAUUGUAAAUUUUAAGUUGUGACACAACUCUACGAACACACAACCACCAGUAAAUGGCAGUGAUGCACCAUUUUAGGUCUGAGGGAAAAAAAUGCAGGUGAGGACUUCUGUAUUCUAUUGCCGCACCAUUUGCGUUCAAAUAGCCAUCGUUUAAUGUUGCGACACAGAAACACCAAUGCAAUGCUAACAUUUAUAAUGUUUUGCUUUGCUUGUUAGAAUUAAGCUAAGUGGAGCUUUGUGGUAGCUUGAAAAACUCACGGUGUAAUUCCUUUUUUUUAUUUUUUAUUUUUUUUAGUUUGAUGAUGGUUUUACGGUUGGAAGACUUGUGUGCAAAUGUGUUUUGGAAUAGAGCAACUGUGACAGCGUUGCUCUUGCGAGGAAGAGAUGCAGGGGUGUGCCGAACUUGCUUUCCAUGCAAAUUCAACACUGCGUCCUUAAUGUCGACCUUCUCUGCCGAUUGUCUGCCCAUUCCUCCGUCAACCCACUCCCAUCUUCCAUUUUCCGACGUGCCGUCCAAUUUGCGGGCCAAUUGGCACUGAUGCUAAUCUAUCCUGCUGCACUCAUUCUCGCACAGAACAGUGCUGAGAAAGAGACAAAGCAGCGGGGUCAGACGUAAUCUUUGCAAGAACCCCCCCUUCCCCCCAAAAAGCUUUUGUCGAGUGUUUCCCCUCCUGUGCACUCUUGCGUAUCUUUUUCUGCUCAUUAAAAUGUGUCACAAAAGGAGCCCUGUGUCGUCGGCAAAACGAACGGCAGUUGGAAAACGGGUAGAACAAUGGCGUUUAUGUUAGAGGUUGCCAGGGAUAGAAACAUAAUAGAAAAAGAGCAGAGUCAUAUGAGCACCAUAUUGAUGCGAUUCAUCACUCGGGGUCAGAAAGAAUGCGGCUGCUGUGCACGUGCGAGAGGCCCAUAUAUCAACCUCAGCGUCCCUAUAGCUGAAACAAGCCGGCCGACAGCGGUGGGCGAUCGCUUUGCUUCUAGCCCCUUGUGAUAACUGUUUGCACUGGAUGCCAAAGCUCGGGGAUGCUUGAGAGGCCCAGCGGCAAGGUUACGCUGUGAAUGGCUCACAGCAACCCGGGACGGACCAUCCAUACAAUCCUGGGAAUAAUUGGCUCAAUGAGAGUGUACAGAAUGUGAACGGGGGCAGGUCAUUCAUUUAUGAGGUUGAAAAAAAUGCUUCAUUGGCUUCAUGGAGUCAAUGAAACAGUAAAGAAAUUAUUCAAUUGAAUAAAACUCAUCAUUGAUUUUGUUUUUGUUCAGCAUAAUUGACAUAUUUAAAGAAUGAUUUCAUACAAUGAAAAUGCAUACCGGUACAUUAUUUGCUUCCUUUUAUAAAUUUGCUGCUGCAAAUUGGGAAUUUCUCCAUUGUGGGACGAAUAAAGGCGUUCUUAUUCUUAUUCUUAAAAACUAGAAAAUGAGUUCUCAGUUAUGAUUACACCGAACUGGUAUUCGCUGCAAGGCUCCAUCCCCUGUGAAUAGUGAACAAGUGCAAGCAACUGAUGCCCCUCUAAAAAUGCCUAUAUUAAAAAAAGGCCUAUAUUCAUAGUUUGUGUAGGUGUACCACAAACUAUGAUCCCGAAAUAUAUAAUCACUACCCUCUAAAUCAGGGGUGUCAAACUCAUUUUUUGUCACGGGCCACUUUGGAGUUAUGUCUUCCCCUGGAGGGCCAUUACGACAGUGAAACCGAGUAAAUGUUUCAUCAUGACAUCAUAUUAUUACUUGUACACGACAAAUCAAAUUGAUGGAUGACUAGUUUUGAAAUCAGUCGACACCGAAACAUCAAGUUGUCAUAUGUAAUAAAUAACGUUGAGAUUUUGCAAUAAUUUUGGGGGGGACGAUAGUUGAACAAACAACAACUGUUUCAAUUUCAAUUGUUUCAAUUUCUUGAAAAUUAUUGCAAAAUCUCAACGUUAUUUAUUACAUAUGACAACUUGAUGUUUCGGUCUGGAUUUGAGCAAGGAUCAUGGAAGUUGACACACGUAAUUUGUUUUCGAGGGCCACAUAAAAUGACGUGGCGGGCCGGAACUGGCCCCCGGGCCUUGUGUUUGACACGUCGCUCUAUGUAAAUAAAGAUUUUUAAAAAUGCCCUGAAAUUACACCAACUUGUGACAUCCUACAACAGGGGUGCCUAUUACGUCGAUCGCGAUCGACCGGUAGAUCGCGGACUGGUCCCAAGUUGAUCGCGAGGAGUGACGAGGAGGAAAAAAAACUUUUUUGUGUCUUGGUGCAUGUCGGUAAUAUAUUUUUUGUGUUAAUGUACACUACACCCAAACCAUCCUAUCAGUCUCAUUUUCACAAAAAGUAUUAAAAAAAAUAAAUUCAAAUUAAAUAAACAGCUAAAUCUUUAGCCUACGGUAGCGCGUGACCUGAGUCACCGGAAGUUGUUAGCGCUCAGCAGCUGCAAUUGCAGCUUGGGAUCAGAGCUCUAUAUCAUUUAUCGAUAUCAUUAUUCUCAUUCAGAUUUUCUUUCGUGUAUAAUUCACCGAGGGAACGGGCAAAGAAUAGGAAUCGAGAGGGCCAAGGGAAGCAUUUCUGUGAUGCGUAGAUCGCGAGAGGUUGGUUGAUUGAAAAGUGGAUCUUUGAUCAAAAAAGUUUGGGCACCCCUUUGACCUACAACAUUAUACAAAGAGCACACUCAUAGAUUCCACAGAAAAUGUUACUGGCCAACUUGCCUGUGAUUUGAAGGUUUUGUUACAUCUUCCAAAAAUAUUAUAUGGCUGAGAGCCGUCAUGUCCUGUUGACUUAUGGCAGCACCCUAUAUUGUAUUCUGAGAGCUACACUCACAACAUUCUGCUGUUUUGGUGACUAUGAGACGUAAAAAUAAAUGAGCAAGUUCAACAGCAUUCUCUAUUCAGGCUUGAGUGAUCUGGAAUGCCCUACUCAUAGAAAUUAAAGCAGCUACCUCCGUAGAAAUGUUUAUAUUCUCCACUUAAGACUUAUUUUUACACUCUGGCAUUUGGUAAAACCAAACCAGGUAAUUCAUCUCUUCCCCUGCCUCAACCUUUGAUAUCUGGAUUUUAGCCUGUUUUACUAUACCGAUAGCCAACUACAGCCAUAACCGCCCAACCACCUACCUGCCCACUCCGUGCUUUUGAUUAAGGGAUAUCUUCAGUGUAUGGAAAUUUAACUUGACUCAUAGCACUCAAUUUUAGGAGUUUGCAUGGCUAAAUUAAUGCAAUUAAUAUUCCAGGACUCUUGAAAAUGUAAAUGGAUGGCGGGCUGGGAACAAAAAAAAGGAAAGCACAUAAUUUUUUCUGUGGAGAUAAUAAAUUUGAAAUUCUACAUUACUUAUUACUUACUAAAAGUCCCUUCGCACGUUUAUUAUCUACCGCCAUGACCAAAUCUCACGUUCACGUCUUCAGCAGCUGUAAUAAGCACUGUUUGCGCUGCACAAAUCGUGGGUAACACACAAUGUCGCCCUGUGGAGCCGCCAAGGUCUGUCACACCAGGCAAGGGGGUGCUCUUCAAUGAAAGAAAAAUUGUUCAUGACUGACUUACUUUUAAGUAAGAAUUGAAAAACAACUGAGCGGUAAUCUUCAUUAUCAGGUAAACAAAAGCUACAUAGUAAGAAAGAGAAAUGUAUUGACUGCAUAAUUGCCUCAAGUUAUUUCACAGUAUUGUUUUUUUUUUACAUUGCCUUCCUGCCUGCUCUGCGCAAUCCCAGUACAAACAGCGCAUAUCUUCCGUCUUAAACAGUUUAGCACCGAGCCAAUAGAGCACGGGUCCCCAAACUGUUUCCUCCCAUUGUUGUCUUUGUCUAUGAUCUGUCAGCGAUAAGAGAGGCUGCCAAGUUGAAUAAAAGCAUCAAAUCUAUUUCAAUAUUUUCUUUCGGAGGUAUCUUGAAUCAAAUCAAGGUUGAUUAAUGACCAUGAAAAGAAGAGCUAAGAAGCUCUUGGCACAUCUUCGGGUUGCAAACAAUACAAUGUAACAAAGGCUCGUGAUUUUUGUUUUUUAUUAUGAAAAACAGUUUUUUUGGGGGGCCGUACAAAUCUCGACUUUUCAGCCCACUAGCUUUUCAAGACGGCGUGUUCUCUUCCCGCUGAGGUCAUUUCUUAUCUAACAGACCUUCACCGUGAGUCAUAAAAUUUGAUGGGGAGGAUUUAGCGCAGUCGUGAGACCAGACGGUGAUCCACAAGCACCGAUGGUGUUGACGUUUUGACGAGAAGGAAUUUGCUAUGGCCCGAUGAUGGCCUUAAAGUCAGCUUGUGAUGUCCGGUUAUGAAAUGAUGUUUUUAAGAGGACCGUAAACACACCAAAAGUUGCACAGGUAAAAACUAGACUGUUAAAGCCACCAAAAGUUGCCAAGGUACAAAUAAGGUUAAAAUAAGUUUAAAGCCACUUUAAAGCCAGUAAAAGUUGGGCAGGUGUAAAUAAGACUAUCGUAAAUCGACCAAAAGUUAAGACGACUGUAAAUUCCCCCAAAUGCGGUGUAGUCUGGCUUCCGCCCGAAGUCAGCUGGGAUUGGCGCCAGCAAUUUUACGCGACCCUGUUCAGGAUAAACGGUGUUGAAAAUGAAUGCAUGGAUGAAUAAGAAUAAGACAGCCCUAAACUCUCUAAAAGUUGCAUAUGUUGAAACAUUCAUUCAUCUUCCGUACCGCUUGAUCCUCACUAGGGUCGCGGGGGGUGCUGGAGCCCAUCCCAGCCGUCUCCGGGCAGUAGGCGGGGGACACCCUGAAUCGGUUGCCAGCCAAUCGCAGGGCACACAUAGACGAACAACCAUCCACACUCACACUCACACCUCGGGACAAUUUAGAGCGUCCAAUCAGCCUGCCACGCAUGUUUUUGGAAUGUGGAAGGAAACCGGAGCACCCGGAGAAAACCCACGCAGGCCCGGGGAGAACAUGCAAACUCCACACAGGGAGGCCGGAGCUGGAAUCGAACCCGGUACCUCUGCACUGUGAAGCCGACGUGCUAACCACUGGACUACCGGGCCGCCCUAUGUUGAAACAAGACUGCGUUAAAAGCUCGCAAAAGUAAACAAAACCGCCAUAAAUCCCAUUAAAAGUUGGCCAAGUUAAAAAAUAAGACAACUGUAAAUACAGUAAUCCCUCGCUAUUUCGCGGUUUGUUUAUCGCGGCUUCAGUGCAUCGCUGAUUUUUUCUAACAUAUUCAUAAUUUUUAUUAUUUUUAUACUUUAAAAAAAUAUAUAUACAUGGUGUACAGUACUGUACAUGUUGCUCUAUGUGACUCGCUGUUGUUUUGCAGUUUCUCGCGGACCGUUUGCGGACUUAAUUUUUUUUUUUUACCUGAAUAUGUUUGCUGGUCGUUAUUUCGCGGAUUUUCGUUUUUCGCGGGUGGUUUUGGUCCCCAUUAACUGCGGUAAACGAGGGAUUACUGUACCUCCAAAUUUGCACAGGUAAAACAGGUAAGACUACCUGAAAUCCCCUCAAAGUUACAGAGGUUUCAGUAAAACUACUGUAAAUCUGCUAAAAGUUGCACAGGCAACCAAAAGUGGUCAAAAUAAGACUGCCUGCCGUCAAUCCCCUCAACAAGUGAACCUCCCAAAGGUGUGCGGAUUCAAAUGAGAUGACUAUAAAUUUCUCAAAUGUUUCACAUUUAAAAUAAGGGUAAAAUGCUGCGUGAGGCAUCAAUUUGACAACUUCUCUGUAUGAAAGGGGUCUUUUGUGUCGAAUUAACAAAGCCGAAAAUGCCAGCAGUAAUUUGAAUAAUCAGUCCGGUCAAUAUGUCAACAAAUAACAUUAUUCCAAGACUACUUCAUUGAAAUCUGGAUAUAUUUUUGUAAGUAAUAAGGCGGGCACACUAAUUAACUGUGACCUUUCAUCAAAUGUCACACGUUUGGGGUGCUGUUGUCAGCAUGCUGCUGAGCUCCUCAGGGUAAUUAAGCUCCCCCCCCCCACACACACACACCUAAACGCACACACAUACACACACGGACGCACACUCGCGCACACGCAAGCAGGCACGGACAACAUUCGCAAACAAAGUGCACCCACAGUGCUGUCGCUUGCUUUAUGUCUUCAAAAACAUGUGGGAAGACAAAUUGAGUUAUUUUUGUAAAAACAAAGCGUUUUGUUCUGUUCUGCUUUUUACAUUUCUUUGCAAAUUUGGAUGAUAGUGCACAAUAGGUUUUACGACUCUUUUAGCGUCUGAGAGUCUGCAGUAAGUUGUUAGCAAACUCUGCAACAAACUGUGAAACAAAUAAAAAACAAAAAAAAAUGUAAGAGAUCAGUCAUGUGUUCUGGGGCGACAUAAUUUUUUUUGUGACUACUUUCUUUAUUAGUCAGGGCCUAGGAACCAUCUUAUGACAUUUCAUAAAGUACACUGAAAUGUUAGUCUUCCUGCAAUCAGAUGA
Molecule: long non-coding RNA, 8400 nt
Organism: Hippocampus zosterae (dwarf seahorse)
Lineage: Eukaryota; Metazoa; Chordata; Actinopteri; Syngnathiformes; Syngnathidae
Exons: 2
Source: RefSeq, a predicted model, not a curated record